Molecule: ribosomal RNA, 484 nt
Filed under: uncultured bacterium
Lineage: Bacteria
Description: partial 16S ribosomal RNA
Rfam family: Bacterial small subunit ribosomal RNA
Source: RNAcentral
AUUGAACGCUGGCGGCAUGCUUUACACAUGCAAGUCGAACGGCAGCGCGGGCUUCGGCCUGGCGGCGAGUGGCGAACGGGUGAGUAAUACAUCGGAACGUGCCCAGUAGUGGGGGAUAGCUCGGCGAAAGCCGGAUUAAUACCGCAUACGACCUGAGGGUGAAAGCGGGGGAUCUUCGGACCUCGCGCUAUUGGAGCGGCCGAUGGCAGAUUAGCUAGUUGGUGGGGUAAAGGCCUACCAAGGCGACGAUCUGUAGCUGGUCUGAGAGGACGAUCAGCCACACUGGAACUGAGACACGGCCCAGACUCCUACGGGAGGCAGCAGUGGGGAAUUUUGGACAAUGGGCGAAAGCCUGAUCCAGCAAUGCCGCGUGUGUGAUGAAGGCCUUCGGGUUGUAAAGCACUUUUGGCGGGAACGAAAAGGACUGUGCCAAUACCACGGUUCGAUGACGGUACCCGCAGAAUAAGCACCGGCUAACUACGUG